UCCCUGGUGGUCUAGUGGCUAAGAUGCCACGCUACCAACGCAGGGGGGCCCAGGUUCAAUCCCUCGUCAGGGAC
This 74-nucleotide transfer RNA is filed under the name Ovis aries (sheep). It matches the Rfam family "tRNA". Rfam says of the family: Transfer RNA (tRNA) molecules are approximately 80 nucleotides in length. The record is from Rfam by way of RNAcentral. Lineage: Eukaryota; Metazoa; Chordata; Mammalia; Artiodactyla; Bovidae.